GGUGAACGCUGGCGGCGUGCCUAAUACAUGCAAGUCGAGCGAACAGACGAGGAGCUUGCUCCUCUGACGUUAGCGGCGGACGGGUGAGUAACACGUGGAUAACCUACCUAUAAGACUGGGAUAACUUCGGGAAACCGGAGCUAAUACCGGAUAAUAUAUUGAACCGCAUGGUUCAAUAGUGAAAGACGGUUUUGCUGUCACUUAUAGAUGGAUCCGCGCCGCAUUAGCUAGUUGGUAAGGUAACGGCUUACCAAGGCAACGAUGCGUAGCCGACCUGAGAGGGUGAUCAGCCACACUGGAACUGAGACACGGUCCAGACUCCUACGGGAGGCAGCAGUAGGGAAUCUUCCGCAAUGGGCGAAAGCCUGACGGAGCAACGCCGCGUGAGUGAUGAAGGUCUUCGGAUCGUAAAACUCUGUUAUUAGGGAAGAACAAAUGUGUAAGUAACUAUGCACGUCUUGACGGUACCUAAUCAGAAAGCCACGGCUAACUACGUG
RNAcentral lists this ribosomal RNA (497 nucleotides) under uncultured bacterium. RNAcentral describes it as "partial 16S ribosomal RNA". It matches the Rfam family "Bacterial small subunit ribosomal RNA", at positions 28 to 507 of the family's 1533-position model. The record is from RNAcentral.